ACCUUUGAGCAGUGACAGUAUCAUAGCCAGUGAGGUUUAUCCGAGGUGUGACUGUUGCUAAUUCAGAUGCAUACUCAGUAAUCUAGGCAAAUGGCAAAUUUAUGCCUCCAAAAGU
RNAcentral lists this small nuclear RNA (115 nucleotides) under Chinchilla lanigera (long-tailed chinchilla). RNAcentral's name for it is "U4 spliceosomal RNA (ENSCLAG00000020423.1)". It matches the Rfam family "U4 spliceosomal RNA". From Rfam's summary of the family: U4 small nuclear RNA (U4 snRNA) is a component of the major U2-dependent spliceosome. The structure of U4 snRNA from yeast and human has been reported. Lineage: Eukaryota; Metazoa; Chordata; Mammalia; Rodentia; Chinchillidae. The record is from RNAcentral.